Sorghum bicolor (sorghum) is the source of this 1469-nucleotide long non-coding RNA. RefSeq lists it as uncharacterized. The transcript is spliced from 7 exons. The record is from RefSeq and is a predicted model, not a curated record. NCBI's taxonomy places the organism in Eukaryota, Viridiplantae, Streptophyta, Magnoliopsida, Poales, Poaceae.
CCUGCUGCUUUCUCAGACAUUUCGAAUCGCUCUCAGAUGCUGACGACCGAGGGCGCUCGUCCCCCACUCCCCUGGCGGUGCCCUCCUCCCCAUCGGCGCCUGCAGAGAGAUCUCGGUGAGCGGCCAUGGUGCGGCAGCGCGGCUCUGCUGCAGGGCCUCACGCGGGGUGUCACGGCUGGCUCGCACGCGCCAAGGGGACGGUCCAUGCGGACUCGCCGGCAAGCCCCUUCGCUAGAUCUUCCUCGGGCAGGCCCUCCUCCAGGUCUUCCAUCGGACCCGCCGCCAGGUCUUCCUCGAGCAGGCCCCUUCGCCGGCGACGAGCACCACCAGGUGUACAUGUGUGCACCCAGGCCCUUAACUGCACCCGCCUCGCCCCUGCAACUAGUUUUCUGUUGGUUGGUUGGUUUGGAUUUGGCUCCCGGAGGAUUGAUGCGGCCAUUGAAGAUCACUGUAGAUUCAUCAUGAAAUUCAGAGGCUGCUCAGGUCAUGUUGGGGGACCAGCAGAUGAUACUGGCCUUGGACUCAUCUAGCGCAUCAAGCUCUGCCCCUGAUUUGGAUCCUUGCCUCCUCGUGAUCUUCUGAGGCAGCGACGGGCUCACGGAGUAGAUGCGCUUGGCUUGGCUCUGCUCUGGCAACAUAGAGGCGCUUAGCGUCCUCACCAAUGCACUCAUUGUCAACCACAUGAGUUAGGCUUUUACACGAUCACAUCAUUCUUGAUUCCUGCAUGGACGUCCUGACCCUGCACAGGCCCCAGCCCCAGCCCCAAUCUCAUAUGAACUGCAUUACCACACCUCUUGACAAUGUGGCAGUGGGCUCAAUCACUGGUUAUAUAUUUUUCUUUUUGCUGGCAUCACCGAUAGUUGAGGAUCUCCUGGUAGCCAUGUAGGUGCACAUAUGGAUUUGCCUAUGCAGCUUUGGAUGAAUAGGUGGUUUGCAUGAAAUGAAAAGCUAUCAACCUAGUGGCAAGUCCACCGCAUGAUGCAAUCCACGGCCGCGGUGCUGGUAUGAAGCAGCGGUGGCGGUUGGUGGCGUGUAGUUCACGGCAGCGGCGCUAGUGCGAAUCAGCGGUGGUGGUCGAUUGGAUGGAAGAUAGCACAGGAGCAGCGCGACGCGGCCAAGGAUUUUUGCAUUUUACUUGUUGAAUUUGGUGUUUUUAUGCUUGUGUGCAUAAGUUUCUAUACACACAGUGGAGCACUUCUAUGCAUUUUUGUAUUCUUAAUGCUUGUGAGCAUAAGUUCCUUGGAGCAGGUCUAUGUUGUUUUUAUGCGACAACAAAUUCACUUUUUAUUCAUCAAAUGCCGACACGAAAAAUAUUUAAGUGUAGUGAAUCCGGUCGUCUAUCACGUGCUAUUUUUUAAAUUUUAAAUUUUUGAGAAGACGAGAUAGUCUUUUAUGUUUUACGUGUGCGGUUCUCAUGUUCUGUGUAUUGUUCUCAUAUUAUUUAUAUAUCCUUAUAUUGGAAAGCAUGA